GGGCCCAUCGUCUAAUAGGAUAGGACAGGGGCUUCCUAAGCCCCCAAUGCGGGUUCAAUCCCUGCUGGGCUCA
Molecule: transfer RNA, 73 nt
Filed under: Trebouxiophyceae sp. MX-AZ01
Lineage: Eukaryota; Viridiplantae; Chlorophyta; Trebouxiophyceae
Description: tRNA-Arg
Rfam family: tRNA
About the family: Transfer RNA (tRNA) molecules are approximately 80 nucleotides in length. Their secondary structure includes four short double-helical elements and three loops (D, anti-codon, and T loops). Further hydrogen bonds mediate the characteristic L-shaped molecular structure. tRNAs have two regions of fundamental functional importance: the anti-codon, which is responsible for specific mRNA codon recognition, and the 3' end, to which the tRNAs corresponding amino acid is attached (by aminoacyl-tRNA synthetases). tRNAs cope with the degeneracy of the genetic code in two manners: having more than one tRNA (with a specific anti-codon) for a particular amino acid; and 'wobble' base-pairing, i.e. permitting non-standard base-pairing at the 3rd anti-codon position.
Source: RNAcentral